Molecule: transfer RNA, 55 nt
Filed under: Cornus volkensii
Lineage: Eukaryota; Viridiplantae; Streptophyta; Magnoliopsida; Cornales; Cornaceae
Description: partial tRNA-Phe
Rfam family: tRNA (bases 15-55)
About the family: Transfer RNA (tRNA) molecules are approximately 80 nucleotides in length.
Source: RNAcentral
AUGCAUCAGGAAUGGUCGGGAUAGCUCAGCUGGUAGAGCAGAGGACUGAAAAUCC